CUCUCACUUGUGUCAGCACUCCCAACGAAGAAUUGGGGAGCCCAAGCCUAACAACCUUUCUGGAGCCCAUGAGACCAACACCGAAGGCUCUCUUUGGCUCUCUCCGGCUCCCUCUUCUGUAGUAAGCGAAGCUCUGUCAUUCUCCAUGCCUUGCCUUAACCCCUGUAGAUGCUGGGCUACAUCCCAUCUGCUGACGUGAGGCCAAGGCCUCAUAUGGAAGAUGUGAACCCCCGAGUCUCCUGGUAUGAAGUGCACAUACGUCUCUUCCCACCAUUUCUACCCGAGGCUUCCUGGAAAUGGCUGCUACAGAAUCCCGGACUUUCCUCUACUGAACAGAACCAGGGUCCAGCAACCCGGCACCCAGAUCUACCACCUGUGGACCCAGGUUAUGUCCUGAGAUCCCAUGUGCGUAACCGAUGGACAUUGGACCUAAGAGCCAGUAAACCAAGCAGGAAGAAUUUGGGAGCCCGAGCCUGAUAGCCUUUCUGGAGCUGCUGAGACAGACAGUGAGGGCACUCUGGGGCUCCUUCUUGUGUGCUGAGUGAUGCUGUCUGUCCUCUAUCCCUGUCUUCCUCUGACCUUAAUGGUGCAUUAUGUCCCGUCUGCUGUCCUAAGGGCAAGACCUCACCUGGAAGAUGUCACAUCCCCAGACUCCUGGUGAGAAGUGCACCCGCAUCUCAUUUGGAGGCUUUUGCGUAAGGCUUCCUGGAAAUGGCUGCUGCAGAUAAGAUAAGCCAGAGGGAAGGAUGUGAGAAUUCCUUCUGUCGUGUGGAACCCCUCACAUCUCACUUCAUAUUGACUGCAGGCGGAGCUUGGAAACCCUUCCCUUUCUGGUAUAAAACCACCCCUGUCCCCAACCAUGCCCCACACAAUCCCAGCAGAGAUAGUGAAGGGGCUCCUUAGCCUGACGGUUCUCACUGUGGGCUCUUAUUCGACUGCAGGGGCAUUGCUUGAA
Molecule: long non-coding RNA, 955 nt
Filed under: Bos indicus x Bos taurus (hybrid cattle)
Lineage: Eukaryota; Metazoa; Chordata; Mammalia; Artiodactyla; Bovidae
Description: lncRNA (ENSBIXG00005022156.1)
Source: RNAcentral